UAACAUCAGAGAGCGGUUCCUCUGCCCUCCAAAACAACAACUUUCCUACCAUCUUGGAGCUCUGCAGUUUGGAUUCAAGCUGUAUGGAUCUUCUUUUAAGCAGCUACAACAGAUGCUUCUUUAUGAAAUUCUGAACUCCUCCCGAAGGAUCUCUACCCACAUGAAAUGUCAUCGCAAUCAGUGAAAACACCCCUACAGAAUUUCAAGAAACAAUACAAAGAGGAUUUUUGCUAUUGAGAAUCUGAGACACCACAACAAAGUGAAAUGGGGAGGGUCCAAGAAAAAUUUAGGCGUGCCAUUGCUCACACCUGAAGUACUGUGGUGCCCGGGUUCACCAACACAGGCUGGCCGUCCACAAACACCUCUAUUUGGUUGCUGGCUGCCGUGGCAGUUGUACGUCCUGAAAAACAUGGAAAGGGUAAAUAAAGAAAUGUCUGUCAAGUGCUGCUAGAGGCAAA
Long non-coding RNA from Oxyura jamaicensis (ruddy duck), 458 nucleotides. RefSeq lists it as uncharacterized. Lineage: Eukaryota; Metazoa; Chordata; Aves; Anseriformes; Anatidae. The record is from RefSeq and is a predicted model, not a curated record. The transcript has 2 exons.